CCUACGGUGGGCAGCAGUGGGGAAUAUUGGACAAUGGGCGAAAGCCUGAUCCAGCCAUGCCGCGUGUGUGAAGAAGGCCUUCGGGUUGUAAAGCACUUUCAGUGGGGAAGAAAGCCUUGGGGCUAAUACCCUCGAGGAAGGACAUCACCCACAGAAGAAGCACCGGCUAACUCCGUGCCAGCAGCCGCGGUAAUACGGAGGGUGCGAGCGUUAAUCGGAAUUACUGGGCGUAAAGCGCGCGUAGGCGGUCUGAUAAGCCGGUUGUGAAAGCCCCGGGCUCAACCUGGGAACGGCAUCCGGAACUGUCAGGCUAGAGUGCAGGAGAGGAAGGUAGAAUUCCCGGUGUAGCGGUGAAAUGCGUAGAGAUCGGGAGGAAUACCAGUGGCGAAGGCGGUCUUCUGGACUGACACUGACGCUGAGGUGCGAAAGCGUGGGUAGCAAACAGGAUUAGAUACCCUUGUAGUC
RNAcentral lists this ribosomal RNA (465 nucleotides) under Vreelandella stevensii. RNAcentral describes it as "partial 16S ribosomal RNA". It matches the Rfam family "Bacterial small subunit ribosomal RNA", at positions 338 to 795 of the family's 1533-position model. Lineage: Bacteria; Pseudomonadati; Pseudomonadota; Gammaproteobacteria; Oceanospirillales; Halomonadaceae. The record is from RNAcentral.